RNAcentral lists this ribosomal RNA (233 nucleotides) under uncultured bacterium. RNAcentral's name for it is "partial 16S ribosomal RNA". It matches the Rfam family "Bacterial small subunit ribosomal RNA", at positions 636 to 870 of the family's 1533-position model. The record is from RNAcentral.
GCAGUCUUGAGUACAGUUGAGGUAGGCGGAAUUCGUGGUGUAGCGGUGAAAUGCUUAGAUAUCACGAAGAACUCCGAUUGCGAAGGCAGCUUACUAACCUGUAACUGACAUUGAUGCUCGAAAGUGUGGGCAUCAAACAGGAUUAGAUACCCUGGUAGUCCACACGGUAAACGAUGAAUACUCGCUGUAGGCGAUAUACAGUCUGCGGCCAAGCGAAAGCAUUAAGUAUUCCA